This 2939-nucleotide long non-coding RNA is filed under the name Homo sapiens (human). Its description in RNAcentral is "HSALNT0180023". Lineage: Eukaryota; Metazoa; Chordata; Mammalia; Primates; Hominidae. The record is from RNAcentral.
AGGGAAGAUGGAAAGAUUGAGGACUUGGAGAUAGAGAAGCUAAAUUAGCCUUAAUGAAAUAUAAUGGAUAUAGAAACCAGGGUAUCCUAAUAUGUAGUUCCACACAAUCAGAUCUGGAAAUUAAAAGAGUAAAAAUUGCUAUGUAAAAUUUCAUUACUUGUUUGAAUGGGAAAGAAACAAAGUCAUUACUUGCCAGUAUGAAACCUUGUUUCAGGAAAAGGGCUGUGUGCCUUCACAGAAAUCUAACUCUUUGGAAUGCUGACAGCUGGGAGGACACGAGGAAAUUUUUACUUCUCUCACCAAUGCUGCCGAGAAGUUUUUACUUCUCUCACCAAUGCCGCCGACUCAGCACUCCUGGAACUGCUCCAUGUUUGCCACAGUGCUGAUUGCUGCCUCAGAUCUAUUCCUUGCUGUUCCCCUGCUUGAAGGGCUGAUACCUGUAGGCUGUUUCCCAGGCUUAUGUGUCAGUGGGCUUCAGACUGUGUGUGGCCAGUGGGAAGACCUGCAGCAGACUGAGCGGUGACAGAAAUGAAGUUGGUGUCAGAAGCGGGAUCCGAAGUGGAACUUCUAGCAGCCCCCCAGGACCACUGCAUGACCCACUUGUGUCCAUUGAUCUCUCAGAGCAGUUGGGGAUCCUGGGACAAUCCCUUCAUGAUCUAGAGCCUGAAGGUAGGAUCUUCUGAGAACAUCAGAAAAAGACUAUCUCUACCAUCCACACUACAGCAAAACUUUGGAGCCUUGAACCUUGGGUUCAUAAUCUCACAAUGGAGAAGGGUCCCUCCACACUCCUAGAACUGUACAUACAUUGGAACCCUUAAGGUAAAACUAACCAGGAAAGUUUCUCCCCAGAAGAAGAUGGCAUCCUUGAUGUAAACUGCUUUUCCCAAGAUCACUAAUCAAGACUUCUACUAUUGAGAGACUUAUCUUUGAAUAUAUUUUCCUUGUUUAUGUCUCUGAACAAUAGAAAUGAAAAGGGGGUCUAUUAUGUGCAUUUAUUUAUAGGGUGUAUUUUUAUUUGUGAGGGAUUUUGCAGCCAGCCUUACACAUGAAUUACCAUAUACUUUAAUAGAUAAAAGAUGAAGGCCCAAUGUAGGUGAGAAACUUUGGGGGUACAUAUGUUGCCUCAUAAUCAGUCAAAACACCUCUUAACCCACAUCAUGGAUUAGAGAGAACCUUGCCAGGAGACCUUCACUCUUCUAGAAGGACAUCAUUUGUUAGGUCCUUUUUUCAUGGUUUAGAAUAAAAUAGGCAAUAAUUAGAAAUGUCACCCUCACAAUAAGCUCUAGUAGAAUUUACACAUCAAUACAUCAAUACACAGACAACAGACUUUAAAUUCUCUUGUGAAAGAUAUGCUAAAUAAUAGAAUUGGCUAAACAUAAAAGUACUUGCACAGCUACUGACAGUUGUGGCCUAUGGAGAAGUACAUCAAAUGUAAAUUAUACAAUUUCAGUUGCGGAGGAUUAAUGAAAAGACCACUUAGUCAAGCGAGUAGACUCUUCAUCUAGCUCAUUCUUUAAUCUAUUUAAUUUUAUGUGGUUUGGUUUAUGGGGACCCUUGGUAAGGAGCAUACUCCGAACUCUUGCAUUAUCCUCCCAAUAGUUAUAAUAAUAGUCUCUCUGGGGCACUGUACUCUCUCAAAGGUUUUAAAUGUUUGCAAGCAGCCAUCUCUAGAAUGUCAAAUGGUUUCUUUUCAACUGGAAUGACAAAAGCUGAAAGAAAUGUGUGACCAUGAGGACACCAUAACCUAUGAAUCACAUGCUUAGACCAGAAACCCAAAAUGAUGGUAACUGAGAGUGGCGCUAAGGCCCUAAGUUUUGGUCACACUCUCACCUACGUGAGAACUUGGCCAAGGCCAAAAGGGUUUUUUUUUUUUUUUGGACAGAGUUUCACUCUUGUUGCCCAGGCGGGAGUGCAAUGGCACAACCUCCGCUCACCACAACCUCUGCCUCCAGGCUCAAGCAAAUCUCUUACCUCAGCCUCCUGAGUAUCUGGGAUUACAGGCAUCCACCACCAUGACUGGCUAAAUUUGUAUUUUUGAUAGAGACAGGGUUUCUCCAUGUUGGUCAGGCUGGUCUCGAACUCCCGACCUCAGGUGAUCCACCCUCCUCGGCCUCCCAAAGUGUUGGGAUUACAGGCUUGAGCUACCGUGCCAGGUCGGGGAUUUUUUUUUGUAAACAAAAUUAUGGGAGACCAUUAUUUUGGACUGAGCUCAUACACUAGACCCCAACAAACCAAACCAAACUAAAAUGGAGUCACUCAUGCUAAAUGUGACAUAAUCAAACUAAGGCUUUAAGAAAACACAUAGAUUCUAGAACAGACCAGGUUUUGUUUUUCUCCUGUAAACAGGAUGUUCCAGCAUAAGGAGGUACCCUCUACUCAGUCCUUAUUCCCUUCUUUCAAAACCCACUGUUCUACUGUUUCCCAGUGGAUUUCAAAACCAUUUAAGUACAUUUACGAUAGUGAUAGUAACAUCAAUGGCCAAGAUUUUGGUCAAUCUCUCAAAACCGAGAAAAUGACAAAAGGAGGGAAUUGUUAAAGCAAACUAAAUAUGGUCUGAGAAGGACCCCAUACUUCCAUAUUUGAGUCUUUGUGGAUGAACUGUAACCUAACUUAAUAGUCAGAUAAAAUUGAAAACCUAACUUAAUAGUAUGCACCUGUAACAAUGACUGAGUGUUGGCCAAUCCCAGUGGCCAUACUUCAACCACUGAUAGACUGCUGAAUGUUCAAACUGUGUUCAAAUAGGGCAAAUGCCGAGUUGUAACCUAUCUUACUGUUUCUGUCCCUCACUUCCGAUUCCUGUAUGUCAUUUUACCUUUUUUGUCUAUAAAUUUGUUCUGACCACAAGGCACCCCUGGAAUCUCUGUGAAUCUGCUGUGAUUCUGAGGGCUGCCGAAUUCAUGAAUUGUUCAUUGCUCAAUUAAACUAUUUUAAAUUUAAUU